GCCCUCUUAGCUCAGUUGGUAGAGCGCAUCACUCGUAUUCCUGAGUCCAUGAUGAGGUCAGUCGUUCGACUCGGCUAGCGGGCA
Mycena polygramma is the source of this 84-nucleotide non-coding RNA. The record is from the annotation of a GenBank genome assembly. Lineage: Eukaryota; Fungi; Basidiomycota; Agaricomycetes; Agaricales; Mycenaceae.